Molecule: transfer RNA, 72 nt
Filed under: Patescibacteria group bacterium
Lineage: Bacteria
Also listed under: 1 other name
Description: tRNA-Arg
Rfam family: tRNA
About the family: Transfer RNA (tRNA) molecules are approximately 80 nucleotides in length.
Source: RNAcentral
GCGCCCAUAGCUCAAUGGAUAGAGCAUUGGUCUUCGGAACCAAGGAUGAAGGUUCAACUCCUUCUGGGCGUA